RNAcentral lists this ribosomal RNA (433 nucleotides) under uncultured Sphingobacteriales bacterium. RNAcentral describes it as "bacterial SSU rRNA". It matches the Rfam family "Bacterial small subunit ribosomal RNA", at positions 948 to 1382 of the family's 1533-position model. Lineage: Bacteria; Pseudomonadati; Bacteroidota; Sphingobacteriia; Sphingobacteriales. The record is from RNAcentral.
AAUUCGAUGAUACGCGAGGAACCUUACCUGGGCUUAAAUGUAGAGUGCAUUUUUUAGAGAUAGAAAUUCCCUUCGGGGCUUUCUGCAAGGUGCUGCAUGGUUGUCGUCAGCUCGUGCCGUGAGGUGUCGGGUUAAGUCCCAUAACGAGCGCAACCCUUAUCGUUAGUUGCCAGCUGGUAAAGCAGGGGACUCUAGCGAAACUGCCACCGUAAGGUGAGAGGAAGGUGGGAUGACGUCAAAUCAGCACGGCCCUUAUGUCCAGGGCUACACACGUGUUACAAUGGCCGGCACAGAGGGCAGCUACCUGGUGACAGGAUGCUAAUCUCGAAAACCGGUCUCAGUUCGGAUCGAAGUCUGCAACUCGACUUCGUGAAGCUGGAUUCGCUAGUAAUCGCGCAUCAGCCAUGGCGCGGUGAAUACGUUCCCGGGCCUU